AUCGAACGCUGGCGGAAUGCUUUACACAUGCAAGUCGAACGGCAGCACGGACUUCGGUCUGGUGGCGAGUGGCGAACGGGUGAGUAAUGUAUCGGAACGUGCCCAGUCGUGGGGGAUAACGUAGUGAAAAUUACGCUAAUACCGCAUACGAUCUAUGGAUGAAAGCGGGGGAUCGCAAGACCUCGCGCGAUUGGAGCGGCCGAUAUCAGAUUAGGUAGGUGGUGGGGUAAAGGCCCACCAAGCCAACGAUCUGUAGCCGGUCUGAGAGGACGACCAGCCACACUGGAACUGAGACACGGUCCAGACUCCUACGGGAGGCAGCAGUGGGGAAUUUUGGACAAUGGGCGAAAGCCUGAUCCAGCCAUUCCGCGUGCAGGAUGAAGGCCCUCGGGUUGUAAACUGCUUUUGUACAGAACGAAAAGGUUUCUACUAAUACUAGGAGCUCAUGACGGUACUGUAAGAAUAAGCACCGGCUAACUACGUGCCAGCCGCCGCCGUAA
Molecule: ribosomal RNA, 500 nt
Filed under: uncultured bacterium
Lineage: Bacteria
Description: partial 16S ribosomal RNA
Rfam family: Bacterial small subunit ribosomal RNA
Source: RNAcentral